RNAcentral lists this ribosomal RNA (571 nucleotides) under uncultured bacterium. Its description in RNAcentral is "partial 16S ribosomal RNA". It matches the Rfam family "Bacterial small subunit ribosomal RNA", at positions 355 to 914 of the family's 1533-position model. The record is from RNAcentral.
UGGGGAAUAUUGCACAAUGGGCGCAAGCCUGAUGCAGCCAUGCCGCGUGUGUGAAGAAGGCCUUCGGGUUGUAAAGCACUUUCAGCGAGGAGGAAGGUGGUGAACUUAAUACGUUCAUCAAUUGACGUUACUCGCAGAAGAAGCACCGGCUAACUCCGUGCCAGCAGCCGCGGUAAUACGGAGGGUGCAAGCGUUAAUCGGAAUUACUGGGCGUAAAGCGCACGCAGGCGGUUUGUUAAGUCAGAUGUGAAAUCCCCCGGGCUCAACCUGGGAACUGCAUUUGAAACUGGCAAGCUAGAGUCUCGUAGAGGGGGGUAGAAUUCCAGGUGUAGCGGUGAAAUGCGUAGAGAUCUGGAGGAAUACCGGUGGCGAAGGCGGCCCCCCUGGACGAAGACUGACGCUCAGGUGCGAAAGCGUGGGGAGCAAAACAGGAUUAGAUACCCUGGUAGUCCACGCUGUAAAACGAUGUCGAUUUGGAGGUUGUGCCCUUGAGGCGUGGCUUCCGGAGCUAACGCGUUAAAUCGACCGCCUGGGGAGUACGGCCGCAAGGUUAAAACUCAAAUGAAUUGAC